This 95-nucleotide microRNA precursor is filed under the name Schistosoma japonicum. Its description in RNAcentral is "microRNA sja-mir-3494 precursor". Lineage: Eukaryota; Metazoa; Platyhelminthes; Trematoda; Strigeidida; Schistosomatidae. The record is from miRBase by way of RNAcentral.
GGAGAGACUCGACAGAAGACUGCCGCUCAUUUUGGAGUACAUGUUUAAACUCAGAUCAUACCUUAGUACGAGCGCGUAUUUGUCUGCGUCUCAAU